RNAcentral lists this ribosomal RNA (361 nucleotides) under uncultured bacterium. RNAcentral's name for it is "bacterial SSU rRNA". It matches the Rfam family "Bacterial small subunit ribosomal RNA", at positions 28 to 425 of the family's 1533-position model. The record is from RNAcentral.
GAUUAACGCUGGCGGCGUGCCUAAUACAUGCAAGUCGAAUGUAUUUAUUUACAUGGCGGACGGCUGAGUAACACGUUGGUACCUGCCCUACACACGGGGAUAGUCUCUGGAAACGGAGUUUAAUACCCGAUACCCUCUUCGGAGGAAAGCUUUUGCGGUGUAGGAGGGGCCUGCGCAUGAUUAGCUAGUUGGUGAGGUAACGGCUCACCAAGGCUUCGAUCAUUAGAUGGUCUGAGAGGAUGAUCAUCCAGACUGGGACUGAGAACGGCCCAGACUCCUACGGGAGGCAGCAGUAAGGAAUCUUGCACAAUGGGGGAAACCCUGAUGCAGCAACGCCGCGUGGAGGAAGACGGCCUGGUUG